Molecule: unclassified non-coding RNA, 356 nt
Filed under: soil metagenome
Description: partial contains 5.8S ribosomal RNA, internal transcribed spacer 2, and large subunit ribosomal RNA
Rfam family: 5.8S ribosomal RNA (bases 1-120)
Source: RNAcentral
GAUGAAGAACGCAGCGAAAUGCGAUAAGUAAUGUGAAUUGCAGAUUUCAGUGAAUCAUCGAAUCUUUGAACGCACAUUGCGCCCGCCAGUAUUCUGGCGGGCAUGCCUGUCCGAGCGUCAUUUCAACCCUCGAACCCCUCCGGGGGUCCGGCGUUGGGGAUCGGGAACCCCUAAGACGGGAUCCCGGCCCCGAAAUACAGUGGCGGUCUCGCCGCAGCCUCUCAUGCGCAGUAGUUUGCACAACUCGCACCGGGAGCGCGGCGCGUCCACGUCCGUAAAACACCCAACUUCUGAAAUGUUGACCUCGGAUCAGGUAGGAAUACCCGCUGAACUUAAGCAUAUCAAUAAGCGGAGGA